RNAcentral lists this transfer RNA (75 nucleotides) under uncultured Pseudomonas sp. RNAcentral's name for it is "transfer RNA-Ala". The record is from RNAcentral. Lineage: Bacteria; Pseudomonadati; Pseudomonadota; Gammaproteobacteria; Pseudomonadales; Pseudomonadaceae.
UAUGAGCAAGUGCGAAUUUUCGGCGAAUGUCGUCUUCACAGUAUAACCAGAUUGCUUGGGGUUAUAUGGUCAAGU